AUGCAUUGUUAUAUAGAACAAGAACCAGCGGGAUCCUUAGCAGUUACAGAGUUGAUUAUUGGAUAUGUGACGGAUGGGUGGAAACAAUACAUCCACGACGCUGCCAGCUACAGGAGGUUCAAUAGCCGCAGGGGCCACUGGACUCUGCGGACGCAUCGUCAUCUGGGGUGGAGCUUGAACAUGGCGUUCGACAGAAGCGUCCUCCUCUGGCACAUCGCCACAAACCUCUGCUUUCACCACCAAAGAACAACCCCUUACGGCCAACGUCGCGCCGCUCGAAGCAGAGUGAUAUCCCACCACAUGGCUUACCUGCUUUCCAUCAGUCCUGAGAUGUUGAUGCUCGGAACUAGGAACAGUAUCUUCACUGUUGCCUGUGAUGAUGUCGAGAUCAUGAUGGGUGGCAUGUUAGUACCGGACGUAAGAGGACUUGCACAGGGAAUUCUUCACAGGGCUCAACAACCUCCCUCGUCACACACCAGCAAGAUAGGAGCUUUGGUUCCCAAUGCAUGCAGGCUUGCUGAAGCGUUGAUGGAGCUGCGCGAUGAAGGGGAGAGGUGGAAGGUGGUCCAGGGGGUAUGGGUGGAGAUGCUAUGCUACUCUGCCGGUAGGUGCAGGGGGUACUUGCAUGCCAAGAACAUGAGUGAAGGCCCGGAGCUGCUCUCUCAAGUUUGGCUCCUCUUGUCAUUCAUGGGGAUGGAGACGUCCGUCGACAGGUAUCAGAAGCCGGAGCCUCCCGAAACCAAGGAAGAACAAGAAGAAGGUGGUGAAGGCAGAUCCGUCGAGCACGAGAUCCAUAUAUCUGUUUAA
RNAcentral lists this ribosomal RNA (807 nucleotides) under Triticum aestivum (bread wheat). RNAcentral describes it as "partial small subunit ribosomal RNA". The record is from RNAcentral. Lineage: Eukaryota; Viridiplantae; Streptophyta; Magnoliopsida; Poales; Poaceae.